AUUGAACGCUGGCGGCAUGCUCUACACAUGCAAGUCGAACGGUAACAGGUUAAGCUGACGAGUGGCGAACGGGUGAGUAAUGCAUCGGAACGUGCCCGGUCGUGGGGGAUAACGCAGCGAAAGCUGCGCUAAUACCGCAUACGAUCUGAGGAUGAAAGCGGGGGACCGUAAGGCCUCGCGCGAUCGGAGCGGCCGAUGACAGAUUAGGUAGUUGGUGGGGUAAAGGCUCACCAAGCCAACGAUCUGUAGCUGGUCUGAGAGGACGACCAGCCACACUGGGACUGAGACACGGCCCAGACUCCUACGGGAGGCAGCAGUGGGGAAUUUUGGACAAUGGGCGAAAGCCUGAUCCAGCAAUGCCGCGUGCAGGAAGAAGGCCUUCGGGUUGUAAACUGCUUUCGUACGGAGCGAAAAGGUCUCCUCUAAUACAGGGGGCUCAUGACGGUACCGUAAGAAUAAGCACCGGCUAACUACGUGCCAGCAGCCGCCGCGG
RNAcentral lists this ribosomal RNA (493 nucleotides) under uncultured bacterium. RNAcentral's name for it is "partial 16S ribosomal RNA". It matches the Rfam family "Bacterial small subunit ribosomal RNA", at positions 29 to 523 of the family's 1533-position model. The record is from RNAcentral.